ACUUACGGAAUUAACUUACAUGUCCCAUAUCGCGCACGUUAAUGAUGCUUGGACGAAAGUCAAAGCAUAUAUAUUGCAAAUAAUUAAUAACAAUUAAAUUUAAUAUUAUGGUUCUUAAAAUACGUGAUUUAUUUUAUGCUAGUUGUUAGGCAAUGAAUGCUAAGCAAAAGAUUAGAAAGCAAGAUUAUAGCUUAGAGACGAUAUAAUAACCUAAUCGAACUGCUAGAGAUCAGAGCCUCGAGUUGUCGUAUAUGAGGCCUCGAGGUCGAGUUGGAUGACCGGGCUUAGAUCGAUCGAGGGAGGACUAACAGUUAUGAGAGCUACGAUGAUAGCUCUUUAUGAUCAAUGAUAAGCAAUAAAUGAUGAAUAAUAAAUAGAACACAAUGAAUAUAAGCAAUAAAUGGUGUAAUGAG
This 413-nucleotide long non-coding RNA is filed under the name Nicotiana benthamiana. Its description in RNAcentral is "long non-coding RNA (NBEN_LNC002221)". The record is from RNAcentral. Lineage: Eukaryota; Viridiplantae; Streptophyta; Magnoliopsida; Solanales; Solanaceae.